RNAcentral lists this transfer RNA (68 nucleotides) under Nasua nasua (ring-tailed coati). Its description in RNAcentral is "tRNA-Lys". It matches the Rfam family "tRNA". From Rfam's summary of the family: Transfer RNA (tRNA) molecules are approximately 80 nucleotides in length. The record is from RNAcentral. Lineage: Eukaryota; Metazoa; Chordata; Mammalia; Carnivora; Procyonidae.
CAUUAAGAAGCUACAUAGCGUUAACCUUUUAAGUUAAAGAUUGAGAGUGACUAAUCUCUCCUUAAUGA